CAAGUCGUGGGGCAGCAUGACUGUAGCAAUACAGUUGAUGGCGACCGGCAAACGGGUGCGGAACACGUACACAACCUUCCUUUAAGUGGGGAAUAGCCCGGGGAAACCCGGAUUAAUACCCCGCUAAUAUAAUGAAGUGGCAUCACUUUAUUAUUAUAGCUCCGGCGCUUGAAGAUGGGUGUGCGACUGAUUAGGCAGUUGGCGGGGUAACGGCCCACCAAACCUACGAUCAGUAACUGGUGUGAGAGCACGACCAGUCACACGGGCACUGAGACACGGGCCCGACUCCUACGGGAGGCAGCAGUAAGGAAUAUUGGUCAAUGGACGCAAGUCUGAACCAGCCAUGCCGCGUGGAGGAUGAAGGUCCUCUGGAUUGUAAACUUCUUUUAUCUGGGAAGAAACCCGCGAAUUCUUUUGUGGUUGACGGUACCAGAUGAAUAAGCACCGGCUAACUCCGUGCCAGCAGCCGCGGUAAUACGGAGGGUGCAAGCGUUAUCCGGAUUCACUGGGUUUAAAGGGUGCGUAGGUGGGCAGGUAAGUCAGUGGUGAAAUCUCUGGGCUUAACCCGGAAACUGCCAUUGAUACUAUCUGUCUUGAAUACCGUGGAGGUCAGCGGAAUAUGUCAUGUAGCGGUGAAAUGCUUAGAUAUGACAUAGAACACCAAUUGCGAAGGCAGCUGGCUACACGAAUAUUGACACUGAUGCACGAAAGCGUGGGGAUCAAACAGGAUUAGAUACCCUGGUAGUCCACGCCCUAAACGAUGGAUACUCGACAUACGCGAUAUACUGUGUGUGUCUGAGCGAAAGCAUUAAGUAUCCCACCUGGGAAGUACGAUCGCAAGAUUGAAACUCAAAGGAAUUGGGCGGGGGUCC
This 872-nucleotide ribosomal RNA is filed under the name uncultured Flavobacteriales bacterium. RNAcentral describes it as "bacterial SSU rRNA". It matches the Rfam family "Bacterial small subunit ribosomal RNA", at positions 58 to 922 of the family's 1533-position model. Lineage: Bacteria; Pseudomonadati; Bacteroidota; Flavobacteriia; Flavobacteriales. The record is from RNAcentral.